This 466-nucleotide ribosomal RNA is filed under the name uncultured bacterium. RNAcentral describes it as "partial 16S ribosomal RNA". It matches the Rfam family "Bacterial small subunit ribosomal RNA", at positions 28 to 507 of the family's 1533-position model. The record is from RNAcentral.
GAUGAACGCUGGCGGCGUGCUUAACACAUGCAAGUCGAACGAUGAAGCCCAGCUUGCUGGGUGGAUUAGUGGCGAACGGGUGAGUAACACGUGAGUAACCUGCCCUUGACUCUGGGAUAAGCCUGGGAAACUGGGUCUAAUACUGGAUAUGACUUCUCAUCGCAUGGUGGGGGGUGGAAAGAUUUAUUGGUCUUGGAUGGACUCGCGGCCUAUCAGCUUGUUGGUGAGGUAAUGGCUCACCAAGGCGACGACGGGUAGCCGGCCUGAGAGGGUGACCGACCACACUGGGACUGAGACACGGCCCAGACUCCUACGGGAGGCAGCAGUGGGGAAUAUUGCACAAUGGGCGCAAGCCUGGUGCAGCGACGCCGCGUGAGGGAUGACGGCCUUCGGGUUGUAAACCUCUUUCAGUAGGGAAGAAGCGAGAGUGACGGUACCUGCAGAAGAAGCGCCGACUAACUACGUG